This 246-nucleotide ribosomal RNA is filed under the name Prevotella sp. Its description in RNAcentral is "partial 23S ribosomal RNA". It matches the Rfam family "Bacterial large subunit ribosomal RNA", at positions 2665 to 2925 of the family's 2925-position model. Lineage: Bacteria; Pseudomonadati; Bacteroidota; Bacteroidia; Bacteroidales; Prevotellaceae. The record is from RNAcentral.
CGUGGUGCUGACACUAGUACGAGAGGACCGUGUUGGACAGACCUCCGGUUUGCCGGUUGUACCGCCAGGUGCACCGCCGGGUAUCCGCGUCUGGAUUGGAUAAGCGCUGAAAGCAUCUAAGUGCGAAGCCAGCCGCAAGAUUAGGACUCCAUGAGGGUCGUCGUAGACUACGACGUUGAUAGGGUGCAGGUGUAAAGACGGCGACGUCAAAGCCGAGCACUACUAAUUGCCCGAAUACUUUCGCAU